RNAcentral lists this ribosomal RNA (439 nucleotides) under uncultured bacterium. Its description in RNAcentral is "partial 16S ribosomal RNA". It matches the Rfam family "Bacterial small subunit ribosomal RNA", at positions 339 to 795 of the family's 1533-position model. The record is from RNAcentral.
CUACGGGUGGCUGCAGUGGGGAAUAUUGCACAAUGGGGGGAACCCUGAUGCAGCAACGCCGCGUGGAGGAUGACGCAUUUCGGUGUGUAAACUCCUUUUAUAUGUCAAGAAAAUGACGGUAGCAUAUGAAUAAGCACCGGCUAACUCCGUGCCAGCAGCCGCGGUAAUACGGAGGGUGCAAGCGUUACCCGGAAUUACUGGGCGUAAAGGACGCGUAGGAGGGUUGGAAAGUCAGGUGUGAAAUCCUACAGCUUAACUGUAGAACUGCACUUGAAACUUCUAAUCUAGAGUAUGGGAGGGGGAGAUGGAAUUAGUGGUGUAGGGGUAAAAUCCGUAGAUAUCACUAGGAAUACCUAAAGCGAAGGCGAUCUCCUGGAACAUUACUGACGCUAAGGCGUGAAAGCGUGGGGAGCAAACAGGAUUAGAUACCCCCGUAGUC